AGUGAACGCUGGCGGUAGGCCUAACACAUGCAAGUCGAACGGCAGCACAGUAAUUGCUUGCGCUUACGGGGUGGGAGUGGCGGGCGGGUGAGGAAUACAUCGGAAUCUACUUUUUCGUGGGGGAUAACGUAAGUAAGCUUACGCUAAUACCGGAUACGCCCUUCGGUUGAGAGGAGUGGAUAUUCGCGGCUUUCGCGAUUGGAUUAGCCGCUGACGAAUUAGCUGGUGGGCGGGGUAAAGACCCACCGAGUCGAGGAUUCGUAGCUGGUCUGGGAGGAGGGUCAGCCGCACGGGAACUGAACCACGGUCCAGACUCCUACGGGAGGCCGCAGUGGGGAAUAUUGGACAAUGGGCGCAAGCCUGAUCCAGCGAUACCGCGUGGGUGAAGAAGGCCUUCGGGUUGUAAAGCCCUUUUGUUGGGAAAGAAAAGCAGCAGGUUAAUACCCCGCUGUUCUGACGGUAACCAAAGAAUAAGCACCGGCUAACUUCGUG
This 492-nucleotide ribosomal RNA is filed under the name uncultured bacterium. RNAcentral's name for it is "partial 16S ribosomal RNA". It matches the Rfam family "Bacterial small subunit ribosomal RNA", at positions 29 to 507 of the family's 1533-position model. The record is from RNAcentral.